UCUCCGUAGGUGAACCUGCGGAGGGAUCAUUACAGAGUUCAUGCCCUACCGGGUCGAUCUCCCACCCUAUGUUAUUAUUACUUUGUUGCUUUGGCGGGCCGUUAGGCUCCGGCCCGACUACCGGCCCCGGCUGGUAAGCGCCCGCCAGAGGACCCAAAACCCUGAAUAUUAGUGUCGUCUGAUUACUAUAUAAUAGUUAAAACUUUCAACAACGGAUCUCUUGGUUCUG
This 229-nucleotide unclassified non-coding RNA is filed under the name plant metagenome. RNAcentral's name for it is "partial contains small subunit ribosomal RNA, internal transcribed spacer 1, and 5.8S ribosomal RNA". The record is from RNAcentral.